Molecule: long non-coding RNA, 216 nt
Filed under: Panax ginseng (ginseng)
Lineage: Eukaryota; Viridiplantae; Streptophyta; Magnoliopsida; Apiales; Araliaceae
Description: long non-coding RNA (PGIN_LNC006905)
Source: RNAcentral
CUCCAUCAAACAACUUAAGCUUUUAGAUGAAUUGGUUACUUAACAUGCAUGAUAUAUAUUGUUUGGGCCUUCAUCUAAUAACUUAAACUUUUAGAUGAGUUGUUUACUUAACACCGUUGACUGCCUCAACAGUGGCAUAAGUCACCCUUUGGUUUUGUGCAUGAUCAUGGAACCCACAAACCAAGUAAGAAAUAACAACAAACCACCACAAAUCUG